AAUUGGAACUGAGACACGGUCCAAACUCCUACGGGAGGCAGCAGUGAGGAAUAUUGGUCAAUGGACGAGAGUCUGAACCAGCCAAGUAGCGUGAAGGAUGAAGGUCCUACGGAUUGUAAACUUCUUUUAUAAGGGAAUAAACCCUCCCACGUGUGGGAGCUUGUAUGUACCUUAUGAAUAAGCAUCGGCUAACUCCGUGCCAGCAGCCGCGGUAAUACGGAGGAUGCGAGCGUUAUCCGGAUUUAUUGGGUUUAAAGGGAGCGCAGACGGGUCGUUAAGUCAGCUGUGAAAGUUUGGGGCUCAACCUUAAAAUUGCAGUUGAUACUGGCGUCCUUGAGUGCGGUUGAGGUGUGCGGAAUUCGUGGUGUAGCGGUGAAAUGCUUAGAUAUCACGAAGAACUCCGAUUGCGAAGGCAGCACACUAAUCCGUAACUGACGUUCAUGCUCGAAAGUGUGGGUAUCAAACAGGAUUAGAUACCCUGGUAGUCCACACGGUAAACGAUGGAUACUCGCUGUUGGCGAUAUACGGUCAGCGGCUUAGCGAAAGCGUUAAG
Molecule: ribosomal RNA, 553 nt
Filed under: uncultured bacterium
Lineage: Bacteria
Description: bacterial SSU rRNA
Rfam family: Bacterial small subunit ribosomal RNA
Source: RNAcentral